UGGAGAUAACAGCAAAAUUGGUGGUAACACCAAAAUUACGAAUUCAAUUAUUGGGCAAGGGUGUAAUAUUGGAUCAAAUGUUACAAUUGAAGGCUCUUACAUAUGGGACAAUGUGACCAUUGAAGAUGGCUGUAAACUCAGUCAUGCUAUCGUAUGUGAUGGAGUUGUCAUAAAGUCAGGAGCAGAACUGGAACCUGGUGUAAUUUUGUCUUUCA
RNAcentral lists this unclassified non-coding RNA (215 nucleotides) under Hevea brasiliensis (rubber tree). The record is from RNAcentral. Lineage: Eukaryota; Viridiplantae; Streptophyta; Magnoliopsida; Malpighiales; Euphorbiaceae.